GACGAACGCUGGCGGCGUGCUUAACACAUGCAAGUCGAACGGAAAGGCCCUGCUUUUGUGGGGUGCUCGAGUGGCGAACGGGUGAGUAACACGUGAGUAACCUGCCCUUGACUUUGGGAUAACUUCAGGAAACUGGGGCUAAUACCGGAUAGGAGCUCCUGCUGCAUGGUGGGGGUUGGAAAGUUUCGGCGGUUGGGGAUGGACUCGCGGCUUAUCAGCUUGUUGGUGGGGUAGUGGCUUACCAAGGCUUUGACGGGUAGCCGGCCUGAGAGGGUGACCGGCCACAUUGGUACUGAGAUACGGCCGAGACUCCUACGGGAGGCAGCAGUGGGGAAUAAUGCACAAUGGGCGGAAGCCUGAUGCAGCAACGCCGCGUGCGGGAUGACGGCCUUCGGGUUGUAAACCGCUUUCGCCUGUGACGAAGCGUGAGUGACGGUAAUGGGUAAAGAAGCACCGGCUAACUACGUG
This 468-nucleotide ribosomal RNA is filed under the name uncultured bacterium. Its description in RNAcentral is "partial 16S ribosomal RNA". It matches the Rfam family "Bacterial small subunit ribosomal RNA", at positions 28 to 507 of the family's 1533-position model. The record is from RNAcentral.